UUAGCAACACUUUAAGGUAUUUCCCCAGCUUUAAACAUUGCAAAUUUUAAGAGUAUAAAAUGUUCCAUUACAACCGAACUUAGCUCUUCCUUACUUGUUACUCCUGUAAGACUUGGUCGGUGGUUUGACGGUUUUUUUCGGUUGAAAUUCGUGUAAAGGAAAGUCAACUCAGGUAUGAAAUACCUUCAAUGGAGGUACAAUUAUUGUUGUACAUACAUACAUAUAUCCAUUUUUUUAAUUCAUAGAGGCAUCCAUAUUUGUACAUGUAUUAGUAAACAUUGAUGAUGAACUACUCGCGCCGAGAAAUACUCCAGAGAUUAAAUAAUACAGGGAACCAAAAUUUUUCAAGCCACGAAAUUCGAACGUGCCAAAUUACCAACGGCUUACUGCAUCAACCCUCAUGCGUUCGGAACAUUUGCUGCGCAUGUGUGGUUAGCCAACACCAUAGUUGGCUAUGCUAUACAUCAUAGUACAUACAUACAUUGUUGUCUUCUUCGUGUACAUAUGGCUGAGCUGUGUACGAACGUGUUGUGAGCCUUGUGCGCAAGCGGGUCCAAUGUUCUACAUAAAUAUAUAAACUAAAUAUGUACUUAAAAAUAAUUUUCCUUUGCCAUGUACAGUUAUAUCGUUUAUGGUGCUUGUUGGGACUCAGGCUCCCAUUUCUUUCAUGGUAGAGAAUUUUCAACCGUCCGGCUAAAUUUCAUAGUGCGAUACGAGGGGUUUAGCUGCUGACGUUAAACGACGAGAUAAUUAAGUCGAGGCAUGAUGCAGCGAAAGAAUAUUAAAAAGACUUUUAAGCAAUUUAAAUUAGGAUGGCUAUUUGGCAUUCCUGUUGGCGUUAUCGACAUUUAUCGAAAAUAAAUUCGUAUUCCCCAUUUUGAAACGAAUAUGGUAACUACAUGGUAACAAUCGUUCCUUGUCAUUGUAGUAAUUUAGAGCGACAUAGAAACGAGUGCGAUUAUGUGAAGUGAAUAUGCAAAUUUCUAACACGAAGCAGUUUGAAAUUUGAGUGUCCGAAAUGGAAAAAAAAAUCCUAUCCUGCCCGACAAAUUUUCCAAACGAGAUAAGGUGAGAACCAGAUAAAAUAUUAAGUGGUUACGUAAAGUAUGAAAGAUUUGAGUUAUAUCCACAUUUCUUUCAAUUUAUAUGACGGAAAGGAGCACUAAACCCCUCUUCUUAAAGAUAGAAUAAAAUAGAUGAUAAUGAGAAAUGUUUCUACAGUGGAGAUGAUCCCGCCAAGAGAUGAAGACUGCGGUCGAACAUUCUAAAGUAGUUAUAGAGCAGAACGCAAAGUUAUCGAGUAAAGAAAUAGGGAAUCGAAGAUAGCUACGGUUAUAGUAUUUUCAAAUUGAUGUCUCUUCUAUAACAUGGAGGCAGAAACUACCGAUCAACUUCUGGAAUACGUAGUACUCUAUUGAAAAAGUAAAAUCAAAACAAGCACUUCUUAAACCUGAAACGCAAAUCAUCUCUUUCUAAAUUGCCGAGUUUAGAUGAGACAUUAUAAAAACUGUGUGCUGUGUUUAUUCUAGCCGAGGGUUACAUAAUGAUAGUUUCGGAUCUCUUCCAAGACAGACGGGCGAAUAUUUGACGUCCCGCUCAAUUACCGCCACUCUUUUGCUCUAAAUUUUUUUAGAAAUUGUGGACAACAAAGAUUUUAUCUGUCUCAGCUAAUUGACCUGUUUGUAUGUAAUGAGAAAGUACAUAUUUUAGAGAAAAGCAAUGCUUAAACAACGAGAGCAAAUCGAAGACGCCUGUUAUAGCUCAAACAGUCACCGGAAGGGAGGAAUUCAGCUGAUCAGCUAUCUUGAGAGAGCGCAAUGUAAAUGAACACUCAACACGGCUUCUACCGUCCGCUUCUACAGACUGUACAAUAGGAUAUUCGUGAAAGUUGGAUUUUCCCGUAAAAAGGAGUGAGCUGAGAGUGAGAGAACAAUCUCUUGUAACACAGGGCUGCCAAUAUCGAUAUUUUGUAG
Non-coding RNA from Bactrocera oleae (olive fruit fly), 1973 nucleotides. Lineage: Eukaryota; Metazoa; Arthropoda; Insecta; Diptera; Tephritidae. The record is from RefSeq and is a predicted model, not a curated record.